This 914-nucleotide small RNA is filed under the name Drosophila virilis. RNAcentral's name for it is "GJ27043". The record is from RNAcentral. Lineage: Eukaryota; Metazoa; Arthropoda; Insecta; Diptera; Drosophilidae.
CAGAGCAGCCACAACAAACAACGUCAACAAUGGAGCCGCCUAUAAAAUUCACAUGCGAGCGUGUUUAAUGGAGGCCCAGCCCACCGAAACGGAACCAGCACACAGGUUGUAUCGUGUGCAGUGAGGGGCAGUAAAAGUGCUGGAAAAUGAUGCGCACGUGACAUCCGGCAAGGCGUCACGAUGGUCAGGUGGAUUGCUGGCCAAGGGCUGGGUUGGCCAGGCCAAAAGGCACAAAGUGAAAAAAAUCUGCCAGCCAGCCAGCUAACUGACAACAACUGGAUCAGCAGAGGACCAACAGCGGGAGCAGCUAGCACAAAGGCCAGCAAACGAGACACACAAGCCAAAAGCAAACAAAAGCCAAAAAAUUAUGCGCUAGUCGCAAGACGCAGUCGGCUCAUUUUCCAUUUGUUAGUCAGCUCACAGGAGCUAACAGGCAGUUGAGUACUCUGCUAUGGAACAUAAUGUGCAGCCAGGGCAUGUAAUUUUAUACAAGCGUGUGAGGGGGCAGACUAUCUACUAUCUACUAAGGGAAGGAAUCUCUGAAGAAAACCCCUUUGAAAUCAGGUGCAUGCAAUGAGGUUAUGAAGUUAGGGUAUACAAACUUCGUUACAAUAUUGUGCUUUUCUAAAGGAAGCAUGGGUUUGAAAAUGGGAAUGAAAGCCUGGGCAGGCGCUCAAGAAAAUUAGUCGCGCUUUUGCGCGCUCGUCGGAAAAUAAUAAAAACUGAAGUGUAAAUUUACUUCCGCUGCAAAAAUGUGGGCGCAUGCUGACAGCUGCUGGUUUGGGCGUGGAUGUAGGCGUGGGCAUGCCCCAAAGCGUCGAGGUGGACGCUGCAACUUUUUCUAAUUAAGCGUACGUGCGACUGUCAGCAACAUCACGAGCCACGACCCCGGCUACGACUGAGGCAAAGACAGC